This 396-nucleotide ribosomal RNA is filed under the name uncultured bacterium. RNAcentral's name for it is "partial 16S ribosomal RNA". It matches the Rfam family "Bacterial small subunit ribosomal RNA", at positions 523 to 918 of the family's 1533-position model. The record is from RNAcentral.
AUACGUAGGUGACAAGCGUUAUCCGGAUUUACUGGGCGUAAAGGGCGUGUAGGCGGUCUUGCAAGUCAGAAGUGAAAUUCCUGAGCUCAACUCGGGCGCUGCUUCUGAAACUGCAGGACUUGAGUGCUGGAGGGGAUAGCGGAAUUCCUAGUGGAGCGGUAAAAUGCGCAGAUAUUAGGAAGAACACCGGUGGCGAAGGCGGCUAUCUGGACAGUAACUGACGCUGAGGCGCGAAAGCGUGGGGAGCAAACAGGAUUAGAUACCCGGUAGUCCACGCCGUAAACGAUGAAUACUAGGUGUAGGGGGUAUCGACUCCCUCUGUGCCGCAGUUAACACAAUAAGUAUUCCGCCUGGGGAGUACGGCCGCAAGGUUGAAACUCAAAUGAAUUGACGGGG